GUGAGGUGGAGCGAAUCACAAAAACUCGGUCUCAGUUCAGAUUGCAGGCUGCAACUCGCCUGCAUGAAGUUGGAAUCGCUAGUAAUCGCGGAUCAGCAUGCCGCGGUGAAUACGUUCCCGGGCCUUGUACACACCGCCCGUCACACCAUGAGAGUCGGGAACACCCGAAGUCCGUAGUCUAACUUUCACGAGAGGACGCGGCCGAAGGUGGGUUCGAUAAUUGGGGUGAAGUCGUAACAAGGUAAC
RNAcentral lists this ribosomal RNA (246 nucleotides) under uncultured bacterium. RNAcentral describes it as "partial 16S ribosomal RNA". It matches the Rfam family "Bacterial small subunit ribosomal RNA", at positions 1257 to 1500 of the family's 1533-position model. The record is from RNAcentral.